RNAcentral lists this long non-coding RNA (612 nucleotides) under Calidris pugnax (ruff). RNAcentral describes it as "lncRNA (ENSCPUG00000001899.1)". Lineage: Eukaryota; Metazoa; Chordata; Aves; Charadriiformes; Scolopacidae. The record is from RNAcentral.
UCUCCUCGUCGCUGCUCUCCCUUUCCUUCCCCAAAUCUUGAUGGCCAACCCUCUCCCUUCCAGCCCUGACUCUCACCGUGGCAGACAAAACCACCAAGGAGGCUUUGGGGACCUUCCAGCUGCCGGUGAGGCACCUCCAGCCCUUCCAUCCUCACCACUGCAGGCUGGUGCUGCCGAGGACACGGGACCUUGGGGGGACAGUCCUGCACGUCACCAUCACCCGCAAAGGGAGCUUCAUCCCCAGCUGCCAUGGCUUCAGCUACGUGGCCCUGGAGGUGAGAGGUGGCCCUGGGGACAGGGGGGGUGGCAGGGAGGGUUUGCAGGGUCCAGGGUGGCUUCUGGGCUCCGGGGAGGAGGUUGUCACACUUGGCCUCCUGCUCUGGUGGCUGUAGAUGUUGCCUCCCCCCUCUCCCACCACCCCUUACCAUUUGCUGACCCCUCACUGUGGGGUCCCCACUGUCCUCAGGUGCUGCUGCAGGGGCUGUCAGCCCCCCUGGCCACCCCCCCAGGGACCCUGGUUGCCGUGGCCAGAGUUGUGACCAAUGUUCAGGAGUACACGUGAGUGAUGGCCCCAUGGUGACACGGGAGAGGGGACAACAUGAGCAUCCCUGU